RNAcentral lists this small RNA (103 nucleotides) under Salmonella enterica. RNAcentral describes it as "partial RtT sRNA". It matches the Rfam family "RtT RNA", at positions 29 to 130 of the family's 130-position model. From Rfam's summary of the family: This family represents a bacterial cis-regulatory element known as RtT RNA. The exact function of RtT is unknown although it is thought that it may be involved in changing the cellular response in relation to amino acid starvation. Lineage: Bacteria; Pseudomonadati; Pseudomonadota; Gammaproteobacteria; Enterobacterales; Enterobacteriaceae. RNAcentral also lists the same sequence under 4 other names. The record is from RNAcentral.
CCGGGGGCAAGAGGUUCGACUCGAGCGCAGCGAGAGAACGUUGCGUCAGCAACGGCCCGCAGGGCGAGCCACGCAGUGGCGAGUCAUCCUCUAUCACCGACCA